GAUGAACGCUGGCGGCGUGCCUAAUACAUGCAAGUCGAGCGAAGCGGGGACGGGUGAGUAACGCAUGGGUACCCUCCUAUAAGACUGGGAUAACUUCGGGAAACCGAAGCUAAACAGGAUACUUAUAGAUGGGUCCGCGUUGCAUUAGCUAGUUGGUAAGGUAACGGCUUACCAAGGCAACGAUGCAUAGCCGAACUGAGAGGGGGAUCGGCCACACUGGGACUGAGACACGGGCCAGACUCCUACGGGAGGCAGCAGUAGGGAAUCUUCCGCAAUGGGCGAAAGUCUGACGGAGCAACGCCGCGUGAGUGAUGAAGGUCUUCGGAUCGUAAAACUCUGUUAUUAGGGAAGCGGUAACUAACCAGAAAGCCACGGCUAACUACGUGCCAGCCGCCGCGGUAAUUC
RNAcentral lists this ribosomal RNA (405 nucleotides) under uncultured bacterium. RNAcentral describes it as "partial 16S ribosomal RNA". It matches the Rfam family "Bacterial small subunit ribosomal RNA", at positions 28 to 526 of the family's 1533-position model. The record is from RNAcentral.